This is a non-coding RNA of Sphaerodactylus townsendi, 138 nucleotides long. RefSeq annotates it as small Cajal body-specific RNA 11. Lineage: Eukaryota; Metazoa; Chordata; Lepidosauria; Squamata; Sphaerodactylidae. The transcript has a single exon. The record is from RefSeq and is a predicted model, not a curated record.
CCGUCCAGCUUCCAGCUGCUGCUCCUCCUGCCCAGACUGUGGCCUCGGAGCUUGGGGGCGGACGUAGAUGAAAUUCCUCUUCAUUUAGGAGGGCUUCUGUGGAGCGUGGUGAAGCCUUCAAAGGCUCAAGAGGACAUC